This 441-nucleotide ribosomal RNA is filed under the name uncultured bacterium. RNAcentral's name for it is "partial 16S ribosomal RNA". It matches the Rfam family "Bacterial small subunit ribosomal RNA", at positions 338 to 795 of the family's 1533-position model. The record is from RNAcentral.
CCUACGGGUGGCAGCAGUGGGGAAUAUUGCACAAUGGGGGGAACCCUGAUGCAGCGACGCCGCGUGGGUGAAGGAGUAUUUCGGUAUGUAAAGCCCUAUCAGCAGGGAAGAACAAUGACGGUACCUGACUAAGAAGCACCGGCUAAAUACGUGCCAGCAGCCGCGGUAAUACGUAUGGUGCAAGCGUUAUCCGGAUUUACUGGGUGUAAAGGGAGCGCAGGCGGCGCGUUAAGCCUGGUGUGAAAGCCCGCGGCCCAACCGCGGGACUGCUCUUGGAACUGCGUGGCUGGAGUGCAGGAGGGGCAGGCGGAAUUCCUGGUGUAGCGGUGAAAUGCGUAGAUAUCAGGAGGAACACCGGUGGCGAAGGCGGCCUGCUGGACUGCAACUGACGUUGAGGCCCGAAAGCGUGGGGAGCAAACAGGAUUAGAUACCCGAGUAGUC